RNAcentral lists this ribosomal RNA (369 nucleotides) under uncultured organism. RNAcentral's name for it is "bacterial SSU rRNA". It matches the Rfam family "Bacterial small subunit ribosomal RNA", at positions 526 to 896 of the family's 1533-position model. The record is from RNAcentral.
CGGAGGGUGCAAGCGUUAUCCGGAUUUACUGGGUUUAAAGGGUGUGUAGGCGGACUUUUAAGUCAGGGGUGAAAUCCCGAGGCUCAACCUCGGAACUGCCUUUGAUACUAUUGGUCUUGAAUGUUGUUGAGGUGGGCGGAACGGGUCAUGUAGCGGUGAAAUGCAUAGAUAUGACCCGGAACACCGAUUGCGAAGGCAGCCCGCUAAGCAACUAUUGACGCUGAGGCACGAAAGCGUGGGGAUCAAACAGGGUUAGAUACCCUGGUAGUCCACGCCCUAAACGAUGAUUACUCGACGUUGGCGAUACACUGAUCAGCGUCCAAGCGAAAGCAUUAAGUAAUCCACCUGGGAAGUACGUUCGCAAGAAUG